This 3008-nucleotide ribosomal RNA is filed under the name Salmonella enterica subsp. enterica serovar Infantis. Its description in RNAcentral is "23S ribosomal RNA". It matches the Rfam family "Bacterial large subunit ribosomal RNA". Lineage: Bacteria; Pseudomonadati; Pseudomonadota; Gammaproteobacteria; Enterobacterales; Enterobacteriaceae. The record is from RNAcentral. RNAcentral also lists the same sequence under 2 other names.
GGGUUGUGAGGUUAAGCGACUAAGCGUACACGGUGGAUGCCCUGGCAGUCAGAGGCGAUGAAGGGCGUGCUAAUCUGCGAUAAGCGCCGGUAAGGUGAUAUGAACCGUUAUAACCGGCGAUACCCGAAUGGGGAAACCCAGUGUGACUCGUCACACUAUCAUUAACUGAAUCCAUAGGUUAAUGAGGCGAACCGGGGGAACUGAAACAUCUAAGUACCCCGAGGAAAAGAAAUCAACCGAGAUUCCCCCAGUAGCGGCGAGCGAACGGGGAGGAGCCCAGAGCCUGAAUCAGCAUGUGUGUUAGUGGAAGCGUCUGGAAAGGCGCGCGAUACAGGGUGACAGCCCCGUACACAAAAGCGCAUGUGCUGUGAGCUCGAUGAGUAGGGCGGGACACGUGGUAUCCUGUCUGAAUAUGGGGGGACCAUCCUCCAAGGCUAAAUACUCCUGACUGACCGAUAGUGAACCAGUACCGUGAGGGAAAGGCGAAAAGAACCCCGGCGAGGGGAGUGAAAAAGAACCUGAAACCGUGUACGUACAAGCAGUGGGAGCACAGGUUUACCUGUGUGACUGCGUACCUUUUGUAUAAUGGGUCAGCGACUUAUAUUCUGUAGCAAGGUUAACCGUAUAGGGGAGCCGGAGGGAAACCGAGUCUUAACCGGGCGUUAAGUUGCAGGGUAUAGACCCGAAACCCGGUGAUCUAGCCAUGGGCAGGUUGAAGGUUGGGUAACACUAACUGGAGGACCGAACCGACUAAUGUUGAAAAAUUAGCGGAUGACCUGUGGCUGGGGGUGAAAGGCCAAUCAAACCGGGAGAUAGCUGGUUCUCCCCGAAAGCUAUUUAGGUAGCGCCUCGUGAAUUCAUCUCCGGGGGUAGAGCACUGUUUCGGCUAGGGGGCCAUCCCGGCUUACCAACCCGAUGCAAACUGCGAAUACCGGAGAAUGUUAUCACGGGAGACACACGGCGGGUGCUAACGUCCGUCGUGAAGAGGGAAACAACCCAGACCGCCAGCUAAGGUCCCAAAGUCAUGGUUAAGUGGGAAACGAUGUGGGAAGGCCCAGACAGCCAGGAUGUUGGCUUAGAAGCAGCCAUCAUUUAAAGAAAGCGUAAUAGCUCACUGGUCGAGUCGGCCUGCGCGGAAGAUGUAACGGGGCUAAACCAUGCACCGAAGCUGCGGCAGCGAACGUAUCACUUAAAGCGAUUCAGCGGGUUACGAUUGACGGAGCGAAGCGACGUCAAAGCGUAUACAAAGUCGAGUCGGUUUAAGGAUACGUUCGUUGGGUAGGGGAGCGUUCUGUAAGCCUGUGAAGGUGUGUCGUGAGGCAUGCUGGAGGUAUCAGAAGUGCGAAUGCUGACAUAAGUAACGAUAAAGCGGGUGAAAAGCCCGCUCGCCGGAAGACCAAGGGUUCCUGUCCAACGUUAAUCGGGGCAGGGUGAGUCGACCCCUAAGGCGAGGCCGAAAGGCGUAGUCGAUGGGAAACGGGUUAAUAUUCCCGUACUUGGUGUUACUGCGAAGGGGGGACGGAGAAGGCUAUGUUGGCCGGGCGACGGUUGUCCCGGUUUAAGCGUGUAGGCUGGUUUUCCAGGCAAAUCCGGAAAAUCAAGGCUGAGGCGUGAUGACGAGGCACUACGGUGCUGAAGCAACAAAUGCCCUGCUUCCAGGAAAAGCCUCUAAGCAUCAGGUAACAUCAAAUCGUACCCCAAACCGACACAGGUGGUCAGGUAGAGAAUACCAAGGCGCUUGAGAGAACUCGGGUGAAGGAACUAGGCAAAAUGGUGCCGUAACUUCGGGAGAAGGCACGCUGACACGUAGGUGAAGUGAUUUACUCAUGGAGCUGAAGUCAGUCGAAGAUACCAGCUGGCUGCAACUGUUUAUUAAAAACACAGCACUGUGCAAACACGAAAGUGGACGUAUACGGUGUGACGCCUGCCCGGUGCCGGAAGGUUAAUUGAUGGGGUCAGCGCAAGCGAAGCUCCUGAUCGAAGCCCCGGUAAACGGCGGCCGUAACUAUAACGGUCCUAAGGUAGCGAAAUUCCUUGUCGGGUAAGUUCCGACCUGCACGAAUGGCGUAAUGAUGGCCAGGCUGUCUCCACCCGAGACUCAGUGAAAUUGAACUCGCUGUGAAGAUGCAGUGUACCCGCGGCAAGACGGAAAGACCCCGUGAACCUUUACUAUAGCUUGACACUGAACAUUGAGCCUUGAUGUGUAGGAUAGGUGGGAGGCUUUGAAGCGUGGACGCCAGUCUGCGUGGAGCCGACCUUGAAAUACCACCCUUUAAUGUUUGAUGUUCUAACGUGGACCCGUGAUCCGGGUUGCGGACAGUGUCUGGUGGGUAGUUUGACUGGGGCGGUCUCCUCCUAAAGAGUAACGGAGGAGCACGAAGGUUGGCUAAUCCUGGUCGGACAUCAGGAGGUUAGUGCAAUGGCAUAAGCCAGCUUGACUGCGAGCGUGACGGCGCGAGCAGGUGCGAAAGCAGGUCAUAGUGAUCCGGUGGUUCUGAAUGGAAGGGCCAUCGCUCAACGGAUAAAAGGUACUCCGGGGAUAACAGGCUGAUACCGCCCAAGAGUUCAUAUCGACGGCGGUGUUUGGCACCUCGAUGUCGGCUCAUCACAUCCUGGGGCUGAAGUAGGUCCCAAGGGUAUGGCUGUUCGCCAUUUAAAGUGGUACGCGAGCUGGGUUUAGAACGUCGUGAGACAGUUCGGUCCCUAUCUGCCGUGGGCGCUGGAGAACUGAGGGGGGCUGCUCCUAGUACGAGAGGACCGGAGUGGACGCAUCACUGGUGUUCGGGUUGUCAUGCCAAUGGCACUGCCCGGUAGCUAAAUGCGGAAGAGAUAAGUGCUGAAAGCAUCUAAGCACGAAACUUGCCCCGAGAUGAGUUCUCCCUGAGACUUAAAGUCUCCUGAAGGAACGUUGAAGACGACGACGUUGAUAGGCCGGGUGUGUAAGCGCAGCGAUGCGUUGAGCUAACCGGUACUAAUGAACCGUGAGGCUUAACCUUACAACGCCGAAG